Molecule: ribosomal RNA, 514 nt
Filed under: Pyrenodesmia alociza
Lineage: Eukaryota; Fungi; Ascomycota; Lecanoromycetes; Teloschistales; Teloschistaceae
Description: LSU rRNA
Rfam family: Eukaryotic large subunit ribosomal RNA
Source: RNAcentral
UUGUUUGGGAAUGCAGCUCAAAAUGGGUGGUAUAUUUCAUCUAAAGCUAAAUACCGGCCAGAGACCGAUAGCGCACAAGUAGAGUGAUCGAAAGAUGAAAAGCACUUUGGAAAGAGAGUCAAACAGUACGUGAAAUUGUUGAAAGGGAAGCGCUCGCAACCAGACCUGCCCGCGGCCGAUCAACCGUCCUUCUGGGCGGUGCACUCGGUCGCGAUCAGGCCAGCAUCGGUUCGGGCGGCCGGAUAAAGGCCCGGGGAACGUGGCUCCCUCCGGGGAGUGUUAUAGCCCUGGGUGCAAUGCGGCCCGCCUGGACCGAGGACCGCGCUUCGGCUAGGAUGCUGGCGUAAUGGUUGUGAGCGGCCCGUCUUGAAACACGGACCAAGGAGUCUAACAUCUAUGCGAGUGUUUGGGUGUCAAACCCAUGCGCGGAAUGAAAGUGAACGGAGGUGGGAACCCAUUUGGGCGCACCAUCGACCGAUCCAGAUGUCUUCGGAUGGAUUUGAGUACGAGCAUA